GACGAACGCUGGCGGCGUGCCUAAUACAUGCAAGUAGAACGCAGUUGCGAACGGGUGAGUAACGCGUAGGUAACUGCCUCAUAGCGGGGGAUAACUCUUGGAAACGAUAGCUAAUACCGCAUACUGUGAGAUGUAACUGCGUUGUAUUAGCUAGUUGGUGGGGUAAAGGCUCACCAAGGCGACGAUACAUAGCCGGCCUGAGCGGGGGAUCGGCCCCACUGGGACUGGGAAACGGCCCAGACUUCUUCGGGAGGCAGCAGUAGGGAAUCUUCGGCAAUGGACGGAAGUCUGACCGAGCAACGCCGCGUGAGUGAAGAAGGUUUUCGGGUUGUAAAGCUCUGUUGAUCGGGAAGCGGUAACUGAACAGAAAGGCACGGCUAACUACGUGCCAGCAGCCGCGGUAAUAC
RNAcentral lists this ribosomal RNA (407 nucleotides) under uncultured bacterium. Its description in RNAcentral is "partial 16S ribosomal RNA". It matches the Rfam family "Bacterial small subunit ribosomal RNA", at positions 28 to 526 of the family's 1533-position model. The record is from RNAcentral.